CCCCUCUCAAGAUCAGAUCUGGAGAGUGUCUAGUACUCUACUGGUUACGACUAUGGGAGGGAGAGUCCAGCAGAGGCAUACCCAUGCCAUUCCUAGCUUGGCCAGUGGCUAGCAAGUGGAAGGCAAUCUGCUACACGU
Small nucleolar RNA from Tachyglossus aculeatus (Australian echidna), 138 nucleotides. The record is from RefSeq and is a predicted model, not a curated record. NCBI's taxonomy places the organism in Eukaryota, Metazoa, Chordata, Mammalia, Monotremata, Tachyglossidae.